AAGAAGCACCGGCUAACUACGUGCCAGCAGCCGCGGUAAUACGUAAGGUGCGAGCGUUAAUCGGAAUUACUGGGCGUAAAGAGUGCGCAGGCGGCUCUCUAAGACAGGUGUGAAAUCCCCGGGCUUAACCUGGGAAUGGCGCUUGUGACUGGAGAGCUAGAGUGUGGCAGAGGGGAAUGGAAUUCCUGGUGUAGCAGUGAAAUGCGUAGAUAUCAGGAGGAACACCGAUGGCGAAGGCAGUUCCCUGGGCCAACACUGACGCUCAUGCACGAAAGCGUGGGGAGCAAACAGGAUUAGAUACCCUGGUAGUCCACGCCCUAAACGAUGUCAACUAGUUGUUGGGGAAGGAGACUUCUUUAGUAACGUAGCUAACGCGUGAAGUUGACCGCCUGGGGAGUACGGCCGCAAGGUUAAAACUCAAAUGAAUUGACGG
This 433-nucleotide ribosomal RNA is filed under the name uncultured beta proteobacterium. Its description in RNAcentral is "bacterial SSU rRNA". It matches the Rfam family "Bacterial small subunit ribosomal RNA", at positions 485 to 916 of the family's 1533-position model. The record is from RNAcentral. Lineage: Bacteria; Pseudomonadati; Pseudomonadota; Betaproteobacteria.